RNAcentral lists this ribosomal RNA (253 nucleotides) under uncultured bacterium. RNAcentral describes it as "partial 16S ribosomal RNA". It matches the Rfam family "Bacterial small subunit ribosomal RNA", at positions 524 to 776 of the family's 1533-position model. The record is from RNAcentral.
GACAGAGGGUGCAAACGUUGUUCGGAAUUACUGGGCGUAAAGCGCGUGUAGGCGGCCCGGCAAGUCGGGUGUGAAAGCCCAUGGCUCAACCAUGGAAGUGCAUUCGAAACUGCCGAGCUAGAGUCCUGGAGAGGAAGGUGGAAUGCUUGGUGUAGAGGUGAAAUUCGUAGAUAUCAAGCGGAACACCCGUGGCGAAGGCGGCCUUCUGGACAGUGACUGACGCUGAGACGCGAAAGCGUGGGGAGCAAACAGG